UUGGAGGGCAAGUCUGGUGCCAGCAGCCGCGGUAAUUCCAGCUCCAAUAGCGUAUAUUAAAGUUGUUGCAGUUAAAAAGCUCGUAGUUGAAUUUCGGGAUUUUACCGUUGGUCGGGGCUAUUGUCUGUACUGGCGUGUAGAAUUUCUACCUUCUGGGGAACCAUCAUGUUAUUAAUUUAGCGUGGUGGGAAACCAGGACCUUUACCUUGAAAAAAUUAGAGUGUUCAAAGCAGGCUUAUGUCUGAAUACAUUAGCAUGGAAUAAUAAAAUAGGACGGUGGUCCUGUUUUGUUGGUUUCUGAAUCACCGUAAUGAUUAAUAGGGAUAGUUGGGGGCAUUAGUAUUCAAUUGUCAGAGGUGAAAUUCUUGGAUUUAUUGAAGACUAACUUCUGCGAAAGCAUUUGCCAAGGAUGUUUUCAUUAAUCAAGAACGAAAGUUAGGGGAUCGAAGACGAUCAGAUACCAUCGUAGUCUUAACCAUAAACUAUGCCGACUAGGGAUCGGACGAUGUUAAUUUUUCUUGACUCGUUCGGCGCCUACGGG
This 541-nucleotide ribosomal RNA is filed under the name uncultured Gigasporaceae. RNAcentral's name for it is "SSU rRNA". It matches the Rfam family "Eukaryotic small subunit ribosomal RNA", at positions 548 to 1093 of the family's 1831-position model. Lineage: Eukaryota; Fungi; Glomeromycota; Glomeromycetes; Diversisporales; Gigasporaceae. The record is from RNAcentral.